GACAGAGGAUGCAAGCGUUAUCCGGAAUGAUUGGGCGUAAAGCGUCUGUAGGUGGCUUUUUAAGUCCGCCGUCAAAUCCCAGGGCUCAACCCUGGACAGGCGGUGGAAACUACCAAGCUGAAGUACGGUAGGGGCAGAGGGAAUUUCCGGUGGAGCGGUGAAAUGCGUAGAUAUCGGGAGGAACACCAGUGGCGAAGGCGGCGACCUGGGCCAAUAUUGACGCUGAGGUGCGAAAGCGUGGGGAGCAAACAGG
Molecule: ribosomal RNA, 253 nt
Filed under: uncultured bacterium
Lineage: Bacteria
Description: partial 16S ribosomal RNA
Rfam family: Bacterial small subunit ribosomal RNA
Source: RNAcentral